Molecule: ribosomal RNA, 253 nt
Filed under: uncultured bacterium
Lineage: Bacteria
Description: partial 16S ribosomal RNA
Rfam family: Bacterial small subunit ribosomal RNA
Source: RNAcentral
GACGUAGGGGGCCAGCGUUGUUCGGAAUUACUGGGUGUAAAGGGUUCGUAGGCGGGGUGGCAAGUCGGGAGUGAAAUCUCUGGGCUCAACCCAGAGACUGCUUCCGAAACUGCUGUGCUUGAGUGUGAGAGAGGCUCGUGGAAUUGCAGGUGUAGCGGUGAAAUGCGUAGAUAUCUGCAGGAACACCCGUGGCGAAAGCGGCGAGCUGGAUCACUACUGACGCUGAGGAACGAAAGCUAGGGGAGCAAACAGG